RNAcentral lists this ribosomal RNA (493 nucleotides) under uncultured bacterium. Its description in RNAcentral is "partial 16S ribosomal RNA". It matches the Rfam family "Bacterial small subunit ribosomal RNA", at positions 29 to 523 of the family's 1533-position model. The record is from RNAcentral.
AUUGAACGCUGGCGGCAUGCUUUACACAUGCAAGUCGAACGGUAACAGGUUAAGCUGACGAGUGGCGAACGGGUGAGUAAUGCAUCGGAACGUGCCCGAUCGUGGGGGAUAACGCAGCGAAAGCUGCGCUAAUACCGCAUACGAUCUGAGGAUGAAAGCGGGGGACCGUAAGGCCUCGCGCGAUCGGAGCGGCCGAUGUCAGAUUAGGUAGUUGGUGGGGUAAAGGCUCACCAAGCCAACGAUCUGUAGCUGGUCUGAGAGGACGACCAGCCAAACUGGGAAUGAGACACGGCCCAGACUCCUAAGGGAGGCAGCAGUGGGGAAUUUUGGACGAUGGGCGAAAGCCUGAUCCAGCAAUGCCGCGUGCAGGAAGAAGGCCUUCGGGUUGUAAACUGCUUUUGUACGGAGCGAAAAGGCUCUCUCUAAUACAGGGGGCUCAUGGCGGUACCGUAAGAAUAAGCACCGGCUAACUACGUGCCAGCCGCCGCCGUAA